RNAcentral lists this ribosomal RNA (1323 nucleotides) under Ruspolia lineosa. RNAcentral's name for it is "16S ribosomal RNA". The stretch from base 628 to 1323 matches the Rfam family "Archaeal large subunit ribosomal RNA", at positions 1423 to 2835 of the family's 2987-position model. The record is from RNAcentral. Lineage: Eukaryota; Metazoa; Arthropoda; Insecta; Orthoptera; Tettigoniidae.
AAGAAAAAAUUUAUUAAAGGUGUAUUUGUUUAAUAAUAUUUUAAUAAAGUAAUUUAAUAUGAUUUAUAGUUUUAGUAUAAAUAUAUGAAUAAAUUUUUGUAAUGAUAGUUAAUUAGUACUGAAAAGGAAUAUUGAAAUAUAUAAAAAUUAUUUUAUUAAGAAGCAGGUUUAAUACUGUACCUUGUGUAUCAGGGUUUAUUAAAUUAAUAAUAUGAAUUUAUUAUUCCCGAAUUAAGAAGAUCUAAUAUAUUAUGUUAGUUAAUAUGGAAUAAUUAUUAAUAAUAUUAUAUUUGGAAUGAAAUGUUUCCGAUUCUUAGGAUAUCUGGUUUUUUAAGAAAUAAAUUUAAUUUAGUUUAAAUUUUGUAUAAAUAUUUAAUUGAUGUAAAUUUAUUAUAAGAUUUAAGUAAUAGUUUAGGGGAUAAGCUCUAAAUUAUCAGAUUAAAAAUUUUUGUGAGGUUAGUUAGUUGUAGGCUUUAAAUUAGUUAUCAAUUAAGAAAUUGUUAUAAAUUAUUAAGACUUUUUUAGAUAAUUUAUUGAAGGAUUUAAUUUGUUUAUUAAAAUGUCUUAUAGAAUGAUUAUAUAAGAUUAAUUUUGAUAAAAUUAGUAUACUAUUUUUGUGAAUAUAUUUAAAUUAUUAAUUUAUAUAAAGGAAUUCGGCAAAUAUUUUACUCGCCUGUUUAACAAAAACAUGUCUUUUUGAGAUUUAUUUAAAGUCGGGCCUGCCCACUGAUUUACAUUGAAGGGCCGCGGUAUCUUGACCGUGCAAAGGUAGCAUAAUCAUUAGUCUUUUAAUUAAAGGCUGGAAUGAAUGGUUUGACGAAGUAAAAGCUGUCUCUGUAUAAUUUGUAGAAUUUGUCUUUUUAGUUAAAAGACUAAAAUGAAAAUAAGGGACGAGAAGACCCUAUAGAGCUUUAUUUAAAUAUGUAAUAUAUAUAUUUAAGGUGUAUUAUUAAUUUAUAGCAUAUUUAUAUUGUGUUGGGGUGACAUAAAGAUAUAAAUAACUCUUUAUUUAACAAACAUAAAUUUAUGGGUGUUUGAUCCAGUAUUAUUGAUUAAAAGAUAAAGUUACCUUAGGGAUAACAGCGUAAUCCUUCUUGAGAGUUCACAUCGAAAGAGGGGUUUGCGACCUCGAUGUUGGAUUAAGAAAAUGAUUAAAUGCAGUAGUUUAAUUAAUAGGUCUGUUCGACCUUUAAAUUCUUACAUGAUCUGAGUUCAGACCGGCGUGAGCCAGGUCGGUUUCUAUCUUUGUUUUAAGAAAAUAUUUUAGUACGAAAGGACCAAAUAUAAGAAAUAAUUUUUAAUAUUAGAAUAUUAUUAAAUAAA